Molecule: long non-coding RNA, 239 nt
Filed under: Lathyrus oleraceus (garden pea)
Lineage: Eukaryota; Viridiplantae; Streptophyta; Magnoliopsida; Fabales; Fabaceae
Description: Pisum sativum (pea) long non-coding RNA (PSAT_LNC014481)
Source: RNAcentral
AUACAUCAAUCAUUUUGUUACAUCUCAUCUUGUAACAAACUACACUAUGACUUAGACUCCAAUCAAUUGAAACUUUAGAGUUCGGUCUUCAUCUUGAUUAAGAAGUUAGAUUGUCUUAAUCUAAACAUGAAUAUUCUCAAUAAUAAUAAUGUUUCAUAUAUUCUUUCUACACCAUAUAUACGACAAAGUACAUUUGUCUAGAUCUAUACAAUACAAAGUAUACAAAUAGUACCUAAAUC